Molecule: ribosomal RNA, 269 nt
Filed under: uncultured bacterium
Lineage: Bacteria
Description: partial 16S ribosomal RNA
Rfam family: Bacterial small subunit ribosomal RNA
Source: RNAcentral
GUCCACGCUGUAAACGAUGAGUGCUAGGUGUCGUGGGUAUUGACCCCCCGCGGUGCCGUAGCUAACGCAUUAAGCACUCCGCCUGGGAAGUACGGUCGCAAGACUAAAACUCAAAGGAAUUGACGGGGGCCCCGCACAAGCGGUGGAGCAUGUGGUUUAAUUCGACGCAACGCGCAGAACCUUACCUGGGCUGGAAAGUGUUCGGAAGUCUUGUGAAAACGAGAUGUGCCCGCAAGGGAGCCGAGUGACAGGUGCUGCAUGGCUGUCGU